This is a non-coding RNA of Pelobates cultripes (western spadefoot toad), 1067 nucleotides long. Lineage: Eukaryota; Metazoa; Chordata; Amphibia; Anura; Pelobatidae. The record is from the annotation of a GenBank genome assembly.
CAUAGCAGUAGGGAUCCCGACAUUUGACACAAAAAAAUGGAACGAGGCGGGCUGCACUAGGAUCAAACACAUGUGCCACGAAGGCAAACUGAUGCACGACAUCCCCAACAAGGCUCUGUCCUCCUACCUACAGCUGAAAUCGCUGCUCACAGGAGUACAAAUAAAUAACCAGGUGACACCCAACAAACACUCAAUAGAACAAUUAUGCCUAACUAACAAACCCCCUAAGAAAACAAUCUCCACGAUCUACAACAUACUCACAGAUGACAAGACAGACCCAGACAUGACAUUCCAAACUGCUUGGCACAAAAAACUGGGACAAGUCAUAGACAAAGAGCAUUGGCAAAGAGCAUUUAAAAUACACAAAGGCAAUACAAGAUGCCCAACACAUCUCGAAACAAUUAGGAAGCUACACUAUAGAUGGUACAUGGUACCCGAGCACCUGGCCAGGAUAUACACAAAUUCCCUAAAUACAUGCUGGAGAUGUGGGGCAACCAGAGGCUCUAUGAGCCACAUAUGCUGGACGUGCAUGGAGAUUAGGAAAUUUUGGGAGAUGGUAGAGGAAAUGGCAGGUGACCUACUGGGUAGGCAGUGGCAACUCACCAUACAACAAUGCAUACUAUUUAUGAUACCACUCGCAGUGACCAAAACAGAGGAGUCCCUGCUGUUUCACCUAUUAAUAUCAGCAGUAACAAUAAUAGCUAGAGCGUGGAAAUCACCACAAACUCCAUCCAAGGAAGCCCUAACACAACAAAUAACCAUUAACUGGCAAUAUGAAACGAUGGCACAUAAACACAUUGGACCAAGGAAACACAUAGGCCUAGCUAGUGAGAGGUGGGAAGAGUACAAGGGUAAAGGAAAAAAAGAUAUAUCAAACAGUGUGUCGAUGACCAUGAAUGGGUACAAAGAGAGCACAGGAAAAGAACGAUCAACAAAGAGCUAGGAGAUGGGAAACUCAGAAGUAACGACACAUAACACGCAGUAACAUUAGCACUGGUGGAACUCCUAAAGACCACGAGAACCUUUAUGAGAAAGGGCAAAACUUAAUAUAGCCCGCACUAAGCCGG